CUUUGUAAUAUUUUUUUUUCUUUAGGAAAACGCAUUAUAAAUUCCUACUGAGGAUACCAAGAGCAUAUGCUUUUCCCUUCCAGGAAACAACACUUUUGAAAAUCAUAUUUGAUUCUCCUAACAAACCAAGGACCUUGGUUGCAAACCAAAGAAACCUACUCUGCUUCAUUGAAACAAAGAAGGAAUUCGUGAGAAAGACUCCGGGAAGUUCAUGGAAUUGUCCAGAUGUGGAGAACAGGUGGCAGAGAAGAGACUGCAGUUGUGGCCAAGACUCCCCCUGAGCUCACCCUCCUUCCCUGCCUGCCCAGAAUUGCCUUUAUCAGAGGAAGGUGGAUUUGAACAGGAAGAAAAGUUAAUUUUUCUGUUGAAUCAACGUUGCCCCUUUUGAUUGGCAGCAGGGGUAAAAACUUUGAACCCAAGUUAAAAUGUAAGCCUUUGCCUCACUUUAUUUCAAUUUUUUUGUUGAUUUACCAUUCAACAGACAUUUAUAGAAUACUUUUGUAUGUAAGGAAAUAUGCUAUGAGCUUAUUUAUUUCUUUUUGUACUUGUUCAUU
RNAcentral lists this long non-coding RNA (554 nucleotides) under Ictidomys tridecemlineatus (thirteen-lined ground squirrel). RNAcentral describes it as "lncRNA (ENSSTOG00000029595.1)". The record is from RNAcentral. Lineage: Eukaryota; Metazoa; Chordata; Mammalia; Rodentia; Sciuridae.